UUAAGCAUAUCAAUAAGCGGAGGAAAAGAAACUAACAAGGAUUCCCCUAGUAGCGGCGAGCGAAGCGGGAAGAGCUCAAAUUUAUAAUCUGGCACCUUCGGUGUCCGAGUUGUAAUCUCUAGAAGUGUUUUCCGCGUUGGACCGCACACAAGUCUGUUGGAAUACAGCGGCAUAGUGGUGAAACCCCCGUAUAUGGUGCGGACGCCCAGCGCUUUGUGAUACACUUUCAAUGAGUCGAGUUGUUUGGGAAUGCAGCUCAAAUUGGGUGGUAAAUUCCAUCUAAAGCUAAAUAUUGGCGAGAGACCGAUAGCGAACAAGUACCGUGAGGGAAAGAUGAAAAGCACUUUGGAAAGAGAGUUAACAGUACGUGAAAUUGUUGGAAGGGAAACGCUUGAAGUCAGACUUGCUUGCCGGAGCUUGCUUCGGUUUGCAGGCCAGCAUCAGUUUUCCGGGGUGGAUAAUGACGGUUUGAAGGUAGCAGUCUCGGCUGUGUUAUAGCUUUCCGUUGGAUACGCCCUGGGGGACUGAGGAACGCAGCGUGCUUUUUGCGAAAGACUCGUCUUUUUCACGCUUAGGAUGCUGGUGGAAUGGCUUUAAACGACCCGUCUUGAAACACGGACCAAGGAGUCUAACAUGCUCGCGAGUAUUUGGGUGUCAAACCCGGAUGCGCAAUGAAAGUGAAUGUAGGUGGGAACCGCAAGGUGCACCAUCGACCGAUCUGGAUUUUUUAAGAUGGAUUUGAGUAAGAGCGCGUAUGUUGGGACCCGAAAGAUGGUGAACUAUGCCUGAAUAGGGCGAAGCCAGAGGAAACUCUGGUGGAGGCUCGUAGCGGUUCUGACGUGCAAAUCGAUCGUCAAAUUUGGGUAUAGGGGCGAAAGACUAAUCGAACCAUCUAGUAGCUGGUUCCUGCCGAAGUU
Molecule: ribosomal RNA, 917 nt
Filed under: Rhodotorula diobovata
Lineage: Eukaryota; Fungi; Basidiomycota; Microbotryomycetes; Sporidiobolales; Sporidiobolaceae
Description: LSU rRNA
Rfam family: Eukaryotic large subunit ribosomal RNA
Source: RNAcentral